Molecule: ribosomal RNA, 301 nt
Filed under: uncultured bacterium
Lineage: Bacteria
Description: partial 16S ribosomal RNA
Rfam family: Bacterial small subunit ribosomal RNA
Source: RNAcentral
CAGUCGCCACGGUAAUACGUAGGGUGCAAGCGUUAAUCGGAAUUACUGGGCGUAAAGCGUGCGCAGGCGGUUAUAUAAGACAGAUGUGAAAUCCCCGGGCUCAACCUGGGAACUGCAUUUGUGACUGUAUAGCUAGAGUACGGCAGAGGGGGAUGGAAUUCCGCGUGUAGCAGUGAAAUGCGUAGAUAUGCGGAGGAACACCGAUGGCGAAGGCAAUCCCCUGGGCCUGUACUGACGCUCAUGCACGAAAGCGUGGGGAGCAAACAGGAUUAGAUACCUCUGUAGUCCCUGUCUUUUAUAA